This 1428-nucleotide ribosomal RNA is filed under the name Triticum aestivum (bread wheat). RNAcentral describes it as "partial small subunit ribosomal RNA". Lineage: Eukaryota; Viridiplantae; Streptophyta; Magnoliopsida; Poales; Poaceae. The record is from RNAcentral.
AUGUCUCCAGCGGCGAUGCCGAGCUCCGGCCACCAGGGCAGCGGCGCACCGCAUUUGGUGUUCGUCCCGAGCGCCGGCAUGGGCCACCUCCUCCCUUUCACCCGCUUCAUCACCGCCAUCGCAGACAUGGGCGUGGACAUCUCCGUCGUGACCGCCCUCCCGACGGUCUCGGAGGCCGAGGCCGAGCACUUCGCCGGCCUCUUCGCUGCCUUCCCCGCCAUCCGGCGCAUCGACUUCAACCUCCUGCCGUUCGACGCCUCCGCGUUUGCGGACACCGAGCCCUUCUUCCUACGGUGGGAGUCCCUGCGCCGCUCGGCCCAUCUCCUCGGCCCGCUCAUCGCCGGCGCCGCGCCGCGCGCGUCGGCCAUCAUCACGGACGUCACCUUGGCUUCCGAGGUCAUCCCCGUAGCUAAGAACGAGCUGAAGCUUCCAUGCCACGUCCUCUUCACGUCCGGCGCAACCGUGCUGGCAUUCCUCGCCUACUUCCCCGUCUACCUUGACGGCGCCAACGCAGACCACCUCGUCGGCGAUGUCGACGUUCCGGGCGUUCGACGCCUCCCGUCAGACUACUGCCCGCGUGUGCUGCGCAACCCCGACGGCCUCUUCACCAAGCAGUUCAUCGUCAACGGCCGCGAGAUCGCCAAAGCAGACGGCAUCCUCGUCAACACGUUCGAUGCCUUGGAGCCAGAGGCACUCACUGCCCUGCGGGGCGGCAAGGUCGUUCCCGGAUUUCCUCCGGUGUUCGCCGUCGGCCCGCUCAAGUCGACGCCCUCAGCGAGAAGAAGCGAUAAGGCGGACUCGCCUAUCGCCUGGCUCGGGGAGCAGCCAGCACGGUCGGUGGUCUACGUCGCCUUCGGCAACUGUAACGCCGCGGCGCUGAAACAGAUCCGCGAGAUCGGCGCCGGGCUGGAGGCCAGCGGCUGCCGGUUCCUGUGGGUGGUGAAGACCACGAUACUGGACCGCGAGGACACGGCGGAGCUGAGGGACGUGGUGGGCGAUGGGUUCCUGGGGCGCGUGCAGGGACGGGGCCUGGUAACCAAGGAGUGGGUGGACCAGGAGGCGGUCCUGAAGCACCCGGCCGUGGGGCUGUUCCUGAGCCACGCCGGGUGGGGGUCGGUGACGGAGGCGGCCGCGUACGGCGUGCCGAUGCUGGCGUGGCCGACGUUGGGCGACCACAAGAUAAUCGCGACGGUGAUACGAAGCGGCGGCUUUGGGGUGUGGAUGGAGCACUGGAGCUGGCAGGAGGAGGACUCGGAGGAGAGUUCGGUGGUGAGCGGGGUGGAGAUUGGGGAAAAGCUGAAGGAGGUGAUGGGCGACGAGGCGAUUUCGGCAAGCGCGGCCAAGAUGCGCGAGGAGGCGACCAAGGCCGUCGCCCCAGGCGGCUCCAGCUACCGGAGCAUGCACGAGUUCCUCGCCAUGCUCGGCUGA